CUAACUCCAGAAAAUACUUAUUAGAGAUUAGGUGAAUAUAAGCAACUGUUGUCUGUCUUUUUUUUUUUUUUUUUUUACAGUUAUUAAACUUAAAUGAUGAGAAAGUUCAGGUGCAGGAAUCCAGUAGCAAUUAACUUUUAUUUCAGUCUGUGAUGUUUCAUCUUCAAUUGCACUCUUCUCAUCUAUAACGUUUUAUUGUCUCUCAUUAGAAUUUUUAUUCUUUCCUCGUGUUCGUCAAUCCGAAAAUAUUAACGUUUUAAUAAAUAUAUCGUGUAGAUCGGAAAUCCUUAUUUAAUGAUACACAUUGUCUGAUAAAAUAUGAGAUUAUAUGGGGUCCAGAUCGACAAAAAAGGGCACGAGUUAUCGAUACAAAGAGCAUUUUUGUUUUUUCUUUUUUUUAUGGUGGAAGCAUUUAUUUUACAAUUUCUUUAUUUUUCGCAUUUCCGACAGCGUUAAGUCGAUGAGUGCUAAGAUAUUUAAGGAAACGGGGCAAAGAGAUUUUCUAAUGGUUGCGUCAUUUAGACCGACGAUUUCCGAAUAAAUCUUGCAUUAGGAAAAACGACAGCAAAAUGUCUUUCGGUUGGAGACGUAAUCAAUACUCAAUUUGGCACCCCUGCGGAAAGGGGUCCUUAUGUAGCGCACAACGAUCCACAGUUGAAAUAUCAUCUUCCUUUAGCUCCCUCUUCAACGUCACCUAAACAAGAACGUAUUUAUUGGAACGUUUCUAUCCAAUGCAAAGGAAAAAAAAAAAAAAAACCUUUAAAUUUUUUGUCAUAGUUUCUCCUCACCAUUAUCUCCUAACUUUUACAGAUAAAAAGUAAAACCCGCUUUCAUCUUCAUCCCAUCAAUAUUGUGGUUUAGAUUUAGGAUAUAAAAAAUGAAAGAUUGUUAAGGGGGCGAAGAAAAAAAAGAGGCAAAUUUGCGAUAUUUCGUACAUAUUGCCUUAGUCAAUUAGAUAAAAAGGAAAAUAUUUUGAAAAGUAAUUAAUGCCGUUUUUAUCGUUUUAGAGUCAAACUUACUUUUAAAAGAAAAUUUUGUGAAG
Molecule: long non-coding RNA, 1042 nt
Filed under: Androctonus crassicauda
Lineage: Eukaryota; Metazoa; Arthropoda; Arachnida; Scorpiones; Buthidae
Source: RNAcentral